AAAGAGAUAGCUGGGUCAAAUGGUGGUUCCAUUCCAAGUUUUCCAAGGAAUCUCCAUACUGCUUUCCAUAUUAGCUGCACCAUGUUGCAGUCCCACCAGCAAU
RNAcentral lists this microRNA precursor (103 nucleotides) under Marmota monax (woodchuck). Lineage: Eukaryota; Metazoa; Chordata; Mammalia; Rodentia; Sciuridae. The record is from RNAcentral.